UGAGGAAUAUUGGUCAAUGGGCGAGAGCCUGAACCAGCCACGUCGCGUGAAGGAAGACUGACCUUACGGUUUGUAAACUUCUUUUGUAGAGGGGUAAUGGCAGAUACGUGUAUUUGCGUGAAAGUACUCUACGAAUAAGCAUCGGCUAACUCCGUGCCAGCAGCCGCGGUAAUACGGGGGAGGCGAGCGUUAUCCGGAAUUAUUGGGUUUAAAGGGUGCGCAGGUGGCUAAUCAGGUCAGUGGUGAAAAGCUAUGGCUCAACCAUGGUCUUGCCAUUGAAACCGUAUAGCUAGAGAGUAGACGAGGUAGGCGGAAUGUGUGGUGUAGCGGUGGAAUGCAUAGAUAUCACACAGAACUCCGAUUGCGAAGGCAGCUUACCAGGCUUUAUCUGACACUUAGGCACGACAGCGUGGGGAUCAAACAGG
This 425-nucleotide ribosomal RNA is filed under the name Verrucomicrobiota bacterium. Its description in RNAcentral is "Verrucomicrobia bacterium partial 16S ribosomal RNA". It matches the Rfam family "Bacterial small subunit ribosomal RNA", at positions 355 to 776 of the family's 1533-position model. The record is from RNAcentral. Lineage: Bacteria; Pseudomonadati; Verrucomicrobiota.